UUCCCACCGCAAGGGUAAGACCCCAGAAAGACUAUCUGGUUGAUAGGUCGAAGGUGUAAGUGCAGCAAUGUAUUUAGCUUAUCGAUACUAAUAGGUCGAGGACUUGACCAAUAUUUAUU
RNAcentral lists this ribosomal RNA (119 nucleotides) under Clostridioides difficile. Its description in RNAcentral is "partial 23S ribosomal RNA". It matches the Rfam family "Bacterial large subunit ribosomal RNA", at positions 2811 to 2925 of the family's 2925-position model. Lineage: Bacteria; Bacillati; Bacillota; Clostridia; Peptostreptococcales; Peptostreptococcaceae. The record is from RNAcentral.